CAGUCGCCACGGUAAUACGGAGGGCGCGAGCGUUACCCGGAUUUACUGGGCGUAAAGGGCGUGUAGGCGGCCUGGGGCGUCCCAUGUGAAAGGCCACGGCUCAACCGUGGAGGAGCGUGGGAUACGCUCAGGCUAGAGGGUGGGAGAGGGUGGUGGAAUUCCUGGAGUAGCGGUGAAAUGCGCAGAUACCGGGAGGAACGCCGAUGGCGAAGGCAGCCACCUGGUCCACUUCUGACGCUGAGGCGCGAAAGCGUGGGGAGCAAACCGGAUUAGAUACCCCUGUAGUCCCUGUCUCUUAUAC
This 301-nucleotide ribosomal RNA is filed under the name uncultured bacterium. RNAcentral describes it as "partial 16S ribosomal RNA". It matches the Rfam family "Bacterial small subunit ribosomal RNA", at positions 509 to 807 of the family's 1533-position model. The record is from RNAcentral.